Molecule: long non-coding RNA, 405 nt
Filed under: Setaria italica (foxtail millet)
Lineage: Eukaryota; Viridiplantae; Streptophyta; Magnoliopsida; Poales; Poaceae
Description: long non-coding RNA (SITA_LNC005586)
Source: RNAcentral
GGCGCCGCAGCGGGCGGCGACGAGCUUGAGGCUGAUCCACGCCAGGAUACACGCCCAGGCGCUCACCCUCGCCGUCCUCGGCGGAGCGGCGGCGUUCGUGCACUACCGCAGCAAGAAGGGCAAGAACCACGCCGCCGACAAGCUGGACCUCGACUUCUACUCGCAGCUGCCGCCGGCCACGGACGCCGACGGCAACGAGAACGAGCGCUGGAGCUGGUAGUCGUCCUUCCGUUGGGAGGAUCGCCGGAGAAGCUGGACCUCAGCAUGACGUGGCGGGUUUGUGCUAAUCCAUCCAGCUAAGACGCCCGUGAUUCCGUUUACUUUACAUUAUCCAUCCAACGUCCGCAUCCACAUCCAUGGGCGGCACAUAGGAAAUAAAGGAAGAAUCCAUGGUUUGGUUUCCUG